RNAcentral lists this small RNA (27 nucleotides) under Bombyx mori (domestic silkworm). RNAcentral's name for it is "piRNA piR-bmo-2224621". The record is from RNAcentral. Lineage: Eukaryota; Metazoa; Arthropoda; Insecta; Lepidoptera; Bombycidae.
UGUAUGGAAUCUGGAUUUCUUGGGGGU